GUAGUAUGGGAUAGCCACUAGAAAUGGUGGGUAAUACUGUAUAAUCCCUGCGGGGGAAAGAUUUAUCGCUAUUAGAUGAGCCUAUGUCAGAUUAGCUAGUUGGUGGGGUAAUGGCCUACCAAGGCGGUGAUCUGUAGCUGGUCUGAGAGGAUGAUCAGCCACACUGGAACUGAGACACGGUCCAGACUCCUACGGGAGGCAGCAGUGGGGAAUAUUGGACAAUGGGCGCAAGCCUGAUCCAGCUAUGCCGCGUGAGUGAGGAAGGCCUUAGGGUUGUAAAACUCUUUCAGUAGGGAAGAUAAUGACGGUACCUACAGAAGAAGUCCCGGCAAACUCCGUGCCAGCAGCCGCGGUAAUACGGAGGGGGCAAGCGUUGUUCGGAAUUAUUGGGCGUAAAGGGCAUGUAGGCGGUUUGGUAA
RNAcentral lists this ribosomal RNA (419 nucleotides) under Anaplasma marginale. RNAcentral describes it as "bacterial SSU rRNA". It matches the Rfam family "Bacterial small subunit ribosomal RNA", at positions 133 to 586 of the family's 1533-position model. The record is from RNAcentral. Lineage: Bacteria; Pseudomonadati; Pseudomonadota; Alphaproteobacteria; Rickettsiales; Anaplasmataceae.